UCUAUGUUAGUGCUCACUUCGUAAAAUUCGAUAUAAGUUAUUUGGUAAUCAAUUGGUAUUCUUGUACAUAUAUUCGUAAACAAAUACCCGCACGUGUUUUCCUCCUCUUAUAUACGUGGACCUUUUUUUAGUUUGUUUAAGUGUACAGGUGAGUAUUAAACUCCAAGUUGAAAUUACAAUGUAUAUAUUUGAUUUCACAAUUCGUGUUCAUUAGAUUUUAGUUUUUUUUUCACGUAUUUAAUAUUAACUUUAAAGACUUGUAAGUUGUCACUAUAAAAUGCGUACAGAUUAAGUGAAGUUC
Non-coding RNA from Cinara cedri, 301 nucleotides. The record is from the annotation of a GenBank genome assembly. Lineage: Eukaryota; Metazoa; Arthropoda; Insecta; Hemiptera; Aphididae.